This 222-nucleotide signal recognition particle RNA is filed under the name marine eukaryotic metagenome. RNAcentral's name for it is "Bacterial large signal recognition particle RNA". It matches the Rfam family "Bacterial large signal recognition particle RNA", at positions 2 to 222 of the family's 256-position model. Rfam says of the family: The signal recognition particle (SRP) is a universally conserved ribonucleoprotein involved in the co-translational targeting of proteins to membranes. Archaeal SRP consists of a 7S RNA and homologues of the eukaryotic SRP19 and SRP54 proteins. The record is from RNAcentral.
CAUGCUAGGUGGGGAGUUAGCGGUGUCUUGAACUCGCAAUCCGCUUUAGCGAGGCCGAAAAUCUACUGAGGGUUCAUAUUAUGUAGGACGCUGUAUUGGUCCGCGUUGAAGAUUUGGUCUAGCGCAGCACAGACCUCCGAACCUCGCCAGAUCCGGAAGGAAGCAACGAUAAGGUGAUAUCUGUGGGUGCCGCUGGGUAGCCUGAUCCGAGUUGGCGAAUAC